RNAcentral lists this ribosomal RNA (449 nucleotides) under uncultured bacterium. RNAcentral describes it as "partial 16S ribosomal RNA". It matches the Rfam family "Bacterial small subunit ribosomal RNA", at positions 29 to 523 of the family's 1533-position model. The record is from RNAcentral.
AACGAACGCUGGCGGCAUGCCUAACACAUGCAAGUCGAACGGGACCUUCGGGUCUAGUGGCGCACGGGUGCGUAACGCGUGGGAAUCUACCCUUGGGUUCGGAAUAACAGUUAGAAAUGACUGAUAAUACCGGAUGAUGACGUAAGUCCAAAGAUUUAUCGCCCAAGGAUGAGCCCGCGUAAGAUUAGCUUGUUGGUGGGGUAAUGGCCUACCAAGGCGACGAUCUUUAGCUGGUCUGAGAGGAUGAUCAGCCACACUGGGACUGAGACACGGCCCAGACUCCUACGGGAGGGAGCAGUGGGGAAUAUGGGACAAUGGGCGAAAGCCUGAUCCAGCAAUGCCGCAUGAGUGAUGAAGGCCUUAGGGUUGUAAAGCUCUUUCAGGUGGGAAGAUAAUGACUGUGCCACCAGAAGAAGCCCCGGCUAACUCCGUGCCAGCAGCCGCCGUAA